GGGGGGCACUGUUCUGUCUAUUGCAGGAUGAGGAGAGAAGAGAGACAAUGGUGGCCUCCAGCUCCAAGACUGGCACUUUCACCCCCAGCCCAGCUUGGCUCCUUCACCCAGCCGGGAGAUGCCUGCCGCCUCCAAUACGGUGGGACCACUGCCUUUCCCAAACACUGCUCACCACCGUGCUGGGUUCCAUCCUUACCUGGACUGUUGGCAGAGACCAGCCUUGGUCUUCUCGAGUCUAGGUGACAGUGACUACUGUGCACUGAACACCUACUGUGCACCAGGCUUGGUUUGAAUCCGUAUGACUACUCUUUGAGGAGAGAGUGUUAUACUCAUUUUAGAGAUGAAGAGACUAAGGCUGGCGAGUGCAACUCACCCAACACCACUCAAAUGGGGGAAUGUGGAAUUACAUGUGUGGAGAUUUUAAAAUCAAUUUUAUUUUAUUUCUGCCUUUAUUAUGCCCGCUUCCAUUGUUUUUAUUAGUAUUUGUCCACAAAGUCUUUGAUAUUCCUCCUUCAAAAGGGGAACCUCAUUCUCCUCCCCUUAGCGUGGCUGUACUUGUUUGCUGGCUUCUUGAGAAUAUAAUGUCUAUGACAUCUGAGACUAGGACAGCAAAGGAACUGUGGCCUCUUCCUUGCUUUCUCGUAGGCACUUAGCUCAGGGGAAGCCAGGUGCAUGGUGUAAGGACAUUUAGGCAGCCCUACUGAGAGCUGAGUGAAGCAUUCUGGAAGAGCCAGCCCCAGUCAAGCACUCAAAUGAUGGCAGCCCAGCCACCCUCUUAACCCAUGAGAGACGCCGGUUGGAGCCAGGACCAUCCAGUUAAGCUGCUCUGGAAUUCCUUUUUCUUUUUAAAUCUUUUUCCCCUUUUUUCUUUUUAUGCCACACCUGCAGCAUAUGGACGUUCUCAGGCUAGGGGUCAAAUAGGAGCUGCAGCUGCCGGCCUGUGCCACCAGCCACAGCCACAGCCACAGCCACGCCAGAUCUGAGCAGCAUCUGUGACCUACACUGCAGCUUGCAGCAAUGCCAGAUUCUUAACCCACUGAGCGAGGCCGGGGAUGGAACCCGCGUCCUCAGGGACACUAUGUCGGGUUCUUAACCUGCUGAGCCACACCAGUAACUCCUUCUCCCUCCCUUAUGAUCUCUCCAGGGCUGGUUUCUUCUAGAGCCUUCAGGCCAUGGCAGGGGUUCUUUCAAGAAGGGUAAUGAGUGGGCAGCUAGAGGACCAGACCUUUAGAGAACUUUGUGUAGGAAAAGCUUCCUCCACUUUGAAGGCAUUGCAGAGCCACACAGGCAAAGCGCAGGCAAGAGAAUAACAGAUACCCACAUUCGGUUACCUAUACACAAUUUCAGGACACUCGAGUUAAUUUGAGCCAUUCUCCUAAGACAUAAAAUUACUGAGAUCUGCUGUUGUGUUUCUCGCAUGAUCUUAGUUCCCAAACCCAACAUACUCUAAACCCCUCUCCUUCCCAAUCUCCCCUACCCCCCAAAUCCAAAUCAGAUAUCAGGUAUUUAUAUACUGACAGGUUUAUUUUUUCCUUAAAGCUUGAACAAAUACAUCUUUCCACACAGUUGGUAGAAUUGGUAGAGAAGUAAGCCCUUACUGCUUUACAUAAAACUUUCUGGCCAAAAUCCAAAGUCCAUCCACUUUUUUGAUACAUGUGUGUUUUCCAUGUUUUCCAGUCCUCACAACCCAUCGAGACCUGUCUGAGCGGAGGGAGAGCUAACUUUGAGAGCAGGAAGGGACAAUAACACGUGCCUUUUGCAAGUAUUAAAGACAAGCAGCUGUAGGAUUCUGAGAAUUCUCAGUAAAUAGUUCAUAGGAUUCUGAGAAUUCUCAAUAAAUAGUUCAUAGUAUACAAAUGCUUAACUCCAUAGCGUUUACCUUUAAUCAAUGGCAGUACCAGUUAUCACUAUAAUAAAGGAUUCAAGGGACAUUCAAGGGGCUACACAUAUUUAUAGCAGCAAGAGACAUGUAUCAUUUAGCCCUUCUAAUAAUCCCCAAAGAGGGAAAAAGUUCAUUAUAAAUUGAUACUUGACGAUUCUAGCCCAGCUAGUGUUAAUCAGGUUUUAAAAAUCUACCAUAAAGUGUUAUAAAUAUGGGAUUCAGGAAAGCAGCCUAAGAAAAGCUUCUGCUUACCUAAUUCAGGAGGUAACAAGCUACUCCCUUUGAGGAGAAUUCAUGCUAGAUUAAUAUUACUAAAAACAAUGGAAGAUGGCAUCAAGGCAGGCAUUAAAUAAAAUUUGUCCUUGAUAGGAGAAUCAUUUUGCAUUGUAAGAGUGUCUUAGGUUCUUUUAGAUAGACAGAAAAAAAAGGUCAUGCAAAUUGUGAGUUUUAACUGUAAUCACAUGCUAAUUGAGGGACUGUCAAAGGUUUGCCCCAGAAGGACCUUUUCAAAGAGGUUAAAAACUUAUUCUAAUUAACAUACAAAUUGAGGCUUACAACCCAAAGAAGGCAAAACCCUCUACUCUUAAAGCAAACCCUAUCUAUAGAUGUCACAGAAAAGAAAUGUUUGCUUCUUUCUUGAAUGAAAAGGAAUUUUCCAUAUUGGAAAACUGGGGGUACAGUGAGAGAGGGGGAGACAAAGAGACAGAGAUCCAGGUAAAGAACCUGAUUAAGGCAGGCAGAACAUGACAAAGAUCAACCGAGGAGGAAUACAAGUAAGCGUGCCAAAUACAACAGUUCCCUCCUUUGAUGAGUGAGCUGGUGGGGGAUGGAGGUAGCUUCAGGAACCUUCCCCCGGCCGCCUGGGAGUCUGAAUAUCACAGCUGCUGCUCCUCUAUUCAGGGAAUGAUGAAUUAGCCACUGCUUAUCAGGCAACUAACAGAGCCAGCAAUAAAAAGAUUGCAAAGACACUGUCAGAAACAGCCCUUUUGAAACCGGAAACAAAGUUUUGGCCAGAGGUGAACAUGCACUCAUAUGUCUGAAAAAAGAAGUUUUUAAGAGGCUGGGGGUGGUGGUGGUGGGGGCAGCGCGUGGCGGCACCGACUACAGGUCUUUUAUUUUAGAAACAUAUCCACUUCAGUUGGUGAUUUUUCUGUCUUAAAGACCACCUUGGACUGCUACAUAGCUAAUAUGACCGGACAGCAAAGAGCUGUUUAAAACUGUCUAAAAUGUUAAGUGGGUGGGUAUCUACAGAUAAUCCCUGGCCCAGGGUUUCAAGUCUAAGGCUGCUUCAUUUUCAUAUGGUGACAGGGUAACCUGGAUUGCAGCAAGGCAGCAAGAAUAAGAAGGAAUACCUCGGGGAGAGAGAAAGGAUAAAUGAGAGAGGAGAAAGAGAGAAAACAGAAAUGAAAGCCAAACAAAAAAAUACAAUUAAAGUGACUUACUUUGUUGAUGCCAAUUUGGGCCAGUUAGCAAAACCACAGCAUUAUCAUUUGUCAAAGACGCAACAAAGGGUGGAUUUAAACAUCAAAGUUAGAUAUGUCCCUAAACCUGACCUGCUAAAGCCAAAUCAGCAUAUUAUUUCAAAGCCCUCUUACCUGGCAGCUGGUGCUAUGCUAGAAUGCUUUCCUUGUCUCUUGCUGUGUGUCUCCUGUCUCUUGGAAGCAUGCUCCUUGGAAGUAUAGGGAAUUCCUAUCCUGGCGCAGCGGUAAUGAACCUGACUAGGAUCUAUGAGGACAUGGGUUCGACCCCUGGCCUCGCUUGGAGGGUCAAGGAUCCAGCCUUGCUGUGAGCUGUGGUGCAGGUUGCAGACUCGGCUCAGAUCCUACGUUGCUGUGGAUGUGGUAUAGGCUGGCAGCUGUAGCUCCAAUCGAUCCCUAGCCUGAGAAUUUCCAUAUGUCGCAGGUGCAGCC
RNAcentral lists this long non-coding RNA (3792 nucleotides) under Sus scrofa (pig). RNAcentral describes it as "lncRNA (ENSSSCG00000046060.2)". The record is from RNAcentral. Lineage: Eukaryota; Metazoa; Chordata; Mammalia; Artiodactyla; Suidae.